RNAcentral lists this ribosomal RNA (1343 nucleotides) under uncultured bacterium. RNAcentral describes it as "16S ribosomal RNA". It matches the Rfam family "Bacterial small subunit ribosomal RNA", at positions 28 to 1378 of the family's 1533-position model. The record is from RNAcentral.
GACGAACGCUGGCGGCGUGCUUAACACAUGCAAGUCGAACGGAAAGGCCCUGCUUUUGUGGGGUGCUCGAGUGGCGAACGGGUGAGUAACACGUGAGUAACCUGCCCUUGACUUUGGGAUAACUUCAGGAAACUGGGGCUAAUACCGGAUAGGAGCUCCUGCUGCAUGGUGGGGGUUGGAAAGUUUCGGCGGUUGGGGAUGGACUCGCGGCUUAUCAGCUUGUUGGUGGGGUAGUGGCUUACCAAGGCUUUGACGGGUAGCCGGCCUGAGAGGGUGACCGGCCACAUUGGGACUGAGAUACGGCCCAGACUCCUACGGGAGGCAGCAGUGGGGAAUAUUGCACAAUGGGCGGAAGCCUGAUGCAGCAACGCCGCGUGCGGGAUGACGGCCUUCGGGUUGUAAACCGCUUUCGCCUGUGACGAAGCGUGAGUGACGGUAAUGGGUAAAGAAGCACCGGCUAACUACGUGCCAGCAGCCGCGGUGAUACGUAGGGUGCGAGCGUUGUCCGGAUUUAUUGGGCGUAAAGGGCUCGUAGGUGGUUGAUCGCGUCGGAAGUGUAAUCUUGGGGCUUAACCCUGAGCGUGCUUUCGAUACGGGUUGACUUGAGGAAGGUAGGGGAGAAUGGAAUUCCUGGUGGAGCGGUGGAAUGCGCAGAUAUCAGGAGGAACACCAGUGGCGAAGGCGGUUCUCUGGGCCUUUCCUGACGCUGAGGAGCGAAAGCGUGGGGAGCGAACAGGCUUAGAUACCCUGGUAGUCCACGCUGUAAACGGUGGGUACUAGGUGUGGGAUCCAUUCCACGGGUUCCGUGCCGUAGCUAACGCUUUAAGUACCCCGCCUGGGGAGUACGGCCGCAAGGCUAAAACUCAAAGGAAUUGACGGGGCCCCGCACAAGCGGCGGAGCAUGCGGAUUAAUUCGAUGCAACGCGUAGAACCUUACCUGGGUUUGACAUGGAUCGGGAGUGCUCAGAGAUGGGUGUGCCUCUUUUGGGGUCGGUUCACAGGUGGUGCAUGGCUGUCGUCAGCUCGUGUCGUGAGAUGUUGGGUUAAGUCCCGCAACGAGCGCAACCCUUGUUCACUGUUGCCAGCACGUUAUGGUGGGGACUCAGUGGAGACCGCCGGGGUCAACUCGGAGGAAGGUGGGGAUGACGUCAAGUCAUCAUGCCCCUUAUGUCCAGGGCUUCACGCAUGCUACAAUGGCUGGUACAGAGAGUGGCGAGCCUGUGAGGGUGAGCGAAUCUCGGAAAGCCGGUCUCAGUUCGGAUCGGGGUCUGCAACUCGACCUCAUGAAGUCGGAGUCGCUAGUAAUCGCAGAUCAGCAACGCUGCGGUGAAUACGUUCCCGGG